GGAACAGCUGUCUUCCGUCAUGGAAUGCUGCACGGCGUCUACCAGAAACUGUGCUAGGAGAAUGGGCGUCGCGUACGCGGUGGUGAUGCUCGUGGUCCUGGCUGUGCAGACGGGGUUCAUGUGCAAUGCGGCGAUGGAGUGCGAGGCGAAUAGACGCCAGUACGUUUGGAUGUCCUGGGGCUUCAGCUGUUUCCUGAGCGCGGCACACGUAGGGUUCAUUGUCACCUGGAUCGUCGCUGC
Molecule: long non-coding RNA, 240 nt
Filed under: Dermacentor andersoni
Lineage: Eukaryota; Metazoa; Arthropoda; Arachnida; Ixodida; Ixodidae
Description: uncharacterized LOC126517103
Source: RNAcentral